Molecule: long non-coding RNA, 3358 nt
Organism: Centrocercus urophasianus (Greater sage-grouse)
Lineage: Eukaryota; Metazoa; Chordata; Aves; Galliformes; Phasianidae
Exons: 2
Source: RefSeq, a predicted model, not a curated record
UUUCAGUGGAUGGAAGCAGCAUGCAAUGGAAGUGGAGCCUCUGCACUGAUAGAAUCUUUGAGCUUUGAACACACCUCUUUUCAGCAUGUUUUGUUUUCAAAGACUUCUAUGUCUGUUGAUUUUAUAGCCUUUACAGAGUUCACAAAAUUAUAGCCUAAAAAUGGCACUGUAUCAUUUUAGCUUCGGUCUACAGUCAUAUAAGAGAGUCAAUACCAUCACUUUCAUCGUUAGAUGAGCAGUCCUAAAUGCUUUUUUGUGUGAGUUCUUCAAGUUUAAUCCUUUUUUUCCCUGUGUUGCUGGAGACGCUGGUAAUAUCAAAGAGAACUGUAGGCUGAAAGCAUUCAUAAGACAUGAAGAGAUGGCGAGACGCACUGGAAAGUUUGGCUUCGUGGAUUUAUUAGCCUCCUCUGCAGUGAGCGUGCUGUGUCCCUCAGAGCUGGUUGUGCAGCAGUGGGGACAGACAGCAGAGCAGCUGCAGAGGGGUUCCAAGGAAAGGGUACAGCAAAACACAGAGAGCAUGGGGUCCUUGAAAGGCUCCAGACUGUCUCAGCCAUCCAGACCUCGGCCAGUGAAGCUGAAGUCAUUACGUUUCUUAUUUGUGUAUCUCAAAAUACGAAAAUCUCUCCUGAUUUCUUAAGAAAAUGCCUUAACUGAUCUCUGCGCCUGUGGUAGAAGAGGGAAAAAAAUAACUGCCUUCCCUUAAAUGAAGUUACUGUACUGUGUGACAAUGGGGGAGUGCAUCCAGUCCCAUGCUGCUGCUGCUUCAUCAUCCAUUACUCCGGCUGCUCAUAACAGCAGCCAAAGAUAAGUGACUCUGACCAUCCUGGCUUCUAGAAAUUCUUUUCUACCUUAAUGUCCGUGGUUCCCCUACAUAAAUCAAGUACAGUUGUGUCUGAUAUAAUUUUCUGCCAAGGCUAAUACAGCUGUUUCAUUCUUGUAUGGGGCAGUAAGAGGGGUAUGAUUGCUUAUGCAGCUGGGAACCUCGUGCUUACAGGUUUCACGCUGCCUCCAGCGUUGGAGAGCGUAAUCUAAAGAGCAUGUUAUGCUCUGUACAGACCACUUAUGUGGAAGAAUCAAUAAUGGAAGAGGAAGUAUUGUGCAUCAGAAGGAGAGGAGUGUCAUUUGGCUUCCUUGGCACUAUUGCAUUGCGUACUGAUCUUUCACUGGACAUAAAAUACACAUACAUGUAUUGCAUUCAAGGAAAGAUCACUACUACUAUUAGUACUUAACCACAGGAGUAAAAAUUUGUUUGGCUUAGUGUCUCUUCUUCUUAAUGUAAAUUUUUAUCUUGGGGAAUGGCUGCCCAUUAUCAAGGUAGUUAAAAAUAUAACCCAGAAUAUAUUAAGCAUGGUAGGUCCUGUUCAAGCAGGCAGCACGUGUAAAUUUUUAGCUCCUUAGUGAAGGAUAAAGAAUUAGCAGUUUUCAGUUUUCUUUUUAUGGACAGAUUUGUUAAAAAGGGGAGACAUUGUUAUAUGGCUAUUGAUUUUCCAACAUGCUUGGAAACCACCCAUCAUGUGGCUUGUUCUAAUUGGUUUGUUUGGUUUUGUUUAAUCCUUAAUGAGCAUGCAUCCGCAGCUGAAUAUUUGUGUUUAAAUAAAUAGCUUCCAUGCAUGUCUGUUGCACCCAUCUUUUGGAGAAGGUUUGAGCCAGAGUGUAUGUGUGCUCUGAUCACCAUGCUAACAUGCUUUUGCUUCAGUUUUGGCCAAUUUGACAAGUGAAAAAUAGAUGUCUGCCAUGUGACAAGCUGCUGAAUAUAAAUUCUGUUAGCAUUUGCUCCUGAUAGAGAAGAGGUGAGGGCUAGGGAGAGAGUGAGGAAGAAAGGGGGAGUUCGAAGAGGCAGGGAGAGAAGAAUGGAAAAAUGAGCAAGACAAAAAGAGAGCUCCAACAGCGGCUGGCAGCAGGUGCCAGCAAACCAGUCAGCACUCUGGCUGUAGAUGCCAUAUGACCCUGCAGACAUAUACUACAAUUUCAAAUUAAUAAGUAAAAGCAGUGAAGAGGCGCAUUUGUGGUGCCAUGUCCCAGUAUGUAGUCACAUUGACCUGAGAGUGGCUGCACAAACAUACUGAUACUUUGCAGAAGAACAUAGUAAUAGGUUUUAAAUCUGAAAUUCCCAGCUAACUUCCUGGGGACUGAGCACAGUCUGCAGCAUGCUCUAUUUUCUGCGGAAUAGGCUGCUUUGUUAGUCAUGUAAGUGAGAGAGCCGAUGUUUAUUUAAUUCCUAAAUCACCCACUGCUCAUAUUUCUGAUGCAUGUUUGCCUUCUGUCAUCAGUGUUUGCUGUGGAAGCAGUUAGCUGCCCUUCACACAGCAUCAAGAGGGUUUUCUCAUUCUCCCCCUUCCUUCUGGCAGAUGCUUUGCACCUACGGAGAACUGAGCUUGUGAGUGUUUGAGAACCUUUAUCCAAGCAGAGGAAGUCCUGGUUCUGCCUGGCUGGAGACAGAAGGGACACUGAUGUACUCCACACCUCCGCCAGCCUGAACACUUCCCUCUUGCAGAACUGAGUAUUUUAAUCUUCCAUCAAAGUAUUUGUUCAAAAAUAACCAGGAUUCCAAUAAAAUUGGGACUACGGAGUUAAAGAUAUCUUUGUUAAAAUACUGCACAAAUUAAAACACACACAUUAAAAACCACGUAUUUGAUAGCAGACAAACAGAAAAGAUCUUCUGACUGUGUCUGUCCAAAGAAGCACGUUAAAGGUCAGUCCUCUGUCAGAAAGCAACAUAACAGCACAGAGGGUGAGGAUAAUUUGUGAGCUGAGCUUCAACACUGUCUCUGUGAUUGCCAGCAUCUGUUGUGGUUUCCAGACUUGUCCAAUGAGAUUUGCUAAUACAGUUGUGUGUUUCAUGCCAUGCUGCUGAAUGCAAAUAUAUGGAGCAUGUUACAUCCAAUAUAGCUCACCCUCAGGGAAAGUCUUAUUGCCACACUUCCCCUUAUACAGUCCAAGAUGUCCUGUCAAGAAAACAGGGAUAUAGACCAAGUUGAAAUGAAGCUGAAUCAGACCUUGGAUACUGAUUUGCAUCAGUAAAUAUGGACUCAGACUGCAAAGCAGAGAUCUGGAUUUCACAAAAUUCUGCUCUAUUCCGGUCAGGACUGAGAUUAAGACCUUAAAGUAACAAAGGGAUGUUCAGCACUGAUGUAGAGAUAAUGCUCUCCCUCUUUGCUCACUUUCUGAAUUUCUGACCCUUCUUGGGUGGAAGAGUCUACGGUGUGCCAGUGUGCCUUCAAAUACUCUGCAUCCCUGAAAAUCAAAAAGAUCAUAACACUGAGCUGGACUGAGUUGUUUAUGGGACAGAAGUAACUUCUUACCAUACUGACGUUUUCAGAAAAGCUUAUGUAAGUAUAAAACGUGUUACAAAGAGUAA